This is a non-coding RNA of Arachis ipaensis, 169 nucleotides long. The record is from RefSeq and is a predicted model, not a curated record. NCBI's taxonomy places the organism in Eukaryota, Viridiplantae, Streptophyta, Magnoliopsida, Fabales, Fabaceae.
GAAUGGAGUGAGACAAGGAUUGUGUUUUGGAUGAAUUCACUUAAGAGAAUCAUCUCUCAGUGUCAAUAUAUAUAUACAUAGGUACAGAAAUAAAAUCCCUUAAUACUAGGAGAUAUGAUAGAAUCAGAUCCCUUAAUACUAGGAGAUAGAAUCAGAUCCCUUAAUACUA